GGGAGCAAACAGGAUUAGAUACCCUGGUAGUCCACGCCGUAAACGAUGUCGACUUGGAGGUUGUGCCCUUGAGGCGUGGCUUCCGGAGCUAACGCGUUAAGUCGACCGCCUGGGGAGUACGGCCGCAAGGUUAAAACUCAAAUGAAUUGACGGGGGCCCGCACAAGCGGUGGAGCAUGUGGUUUAAUUCGAUGCAACGCGAAGAACCUUACCUGGUCUUGACAUCCACGGAAGUUUUCAGAGAUGAGAAUGUGCCUUCGGGAACCGUGAGACAGGUGCUGCAUGGCUGUCGUCAGCUCGUGUUGUGAAAUGUUGGGUUAAGUCCCGCAACGAGCGCAACCCUUAUCCUUUGUUGCCAGCGGUCCGGCCGGGAACUCAAAGGAGACUGCCAGUGAUAAACUGGAGGAAGGUGGGGAUGACGUCAAGUCAUCAUGGCCCUUACGACCAGGGCUACACACGUGCUACAAUGGCGCAUACAAAGAGAAGCGACCUCGCGAGAGCAAGCGGACCUCAUAAAGUGCGUCGUAGUCCGGAUUGGAGUCUGCAACUCGACUCCAUGAAGUCGGAAUCGCUAGUAAUCGUGGAUCAGAAUGCCACGGUGAAUACGUUCCCGGGCCUUGUACACACCGCCCGUCACACCAUGGGAGUGGGUUGCAAAAGAAGUAGGUAGCUUAACCUUCGGGAGGGCGCUUACCACUUUGUGAUUCAUGACUGGGGUGAAGUCGUAACAAGGUAACCGUAGGGGAACCUGCGGUUGGAUCACCUCCUUACCUUAAAGAAGC
RNAcentral lists this ribosomal RNA (781 nucleotides) under Shigella flexneri. RNAcentral describes it as "bacterial SSU rRNA". It matches the Rfam family "Bacterial small subunit ribosomal RNA", at positions 764 to 1533 of the family's 1533-position model. Lineage: Bacteria; Pseudomonadati; Pseudomonadota; Gammaproteobacteria; Enterobacterales; Enterobacteriaceae. The record is from RNAcentral.